RNAcentral lists this unclassified non-coding RNA (235 nucleotides) under Paraglomerales sp. RNAcentral's name for it is "partial contains 5.8S ribosomal RNA and internal transcribed spacer 2". The stretch from base 1 to 65 matches the Rfam family "5.8S ribosomal RNA", at positions 84 to 154 of the family's 154-position model. Lineage: Eukaryota; Fungi; Glomeromycota; Glomeromycetes; Paraglomerales. The record is from RNAcentral.
GUGAAUCAUCGAAUCUUUGAACGCAAAUUGCGCCUUUUUCGGAAGGCAUGUCUGUUUGAGGGCACCAUUUAACAAAUAAUGUGCAGCGUUUUUUGUUGCACACGUUGAUGAUCUUUCCAAGAAUUUGAAAUUUUUGGUGGCGCAUAAUGAACAGCGUGAAAGUUUUUUUCAGUUCGAGUGUCGUAAAUUCUUUGCUUCCAUUUUGAAAAAACAUAAUCGCGCAAUGUUGGUGGCA